RNAcentral lists this ribosomal RNA (329 nucleotides) under uncultured eukaryote. Its description in RNAcentral is "partial 18S ribosomal RNA". It matches the Rfam family "Eukaryotic small subunit ribosomal RNA", at positions 1470 to 1796 of the family's 1831-position model. The record is from RNAcentral.
CCCUUAGAUGUCCGGGGCCGCACGCGCGCUACACUGAAGGAAUCAGCGUGGCUUUCUCCCUGACCCGAAAGGGUUGGGAAACCCGUUGAAUCUCCUUCGUGAUAGGGAUUGGGGCUUGAAAUUGUUCCCCAUGAACGAGGAAUUCCCAGUAAGCGCGAGUCAUAAGCUCGCGUUGAUUACGUCCCUGCCCUUUGUACGCACCGCCCGUCGCUACUACCGAUUGAAUGGCUUAGUGAGCCUUUGGGAUUGGCAGCCAACACCGGCAACGGUAGCUGGCCGCCGAAAACUUAUGCAAACUUGGUCAUUUAGAGGAAGUAAAAGUCGUAACA